CCUACGGGAGGCAGCAGUGGGGAAUAUUGCACAAUGGGCGCAAGCCUGAUGCAGCGACGCCGCGUGAGGGAUGACGGCCUUCGGGUUGUAAACCUCUUUCAGCAGGGAAGAAGCGCAAGUGACGGUACCUGCAGAAGAAGGGCCGGCUAACUACGUGCCAGCAGCCGCGGUAAU
This 174-nucleotide ribosomal RNA is filed under the name uncultured bacterium. RNAcentral's name for it is "partial 16S rRNA". It matches the Rfam family "Bacterial small subunit ribosomal RNA", at positions 338 to 524 of the family's 1533-position model. The record is from RNAcentral.